UACGGAGGGAGCUAGCGUUGCUCGGAAUCACUGGGCGUAAAGGGCGUGUAGGCGGGACAGUAAGUCGGGCGUGAAAUCCCUGGGCUCAACCCAGGAACUGCACUCGAAACUACUAUUCUUGAGUGUCGGAGAGGAAAGCGGAAUUCCUGGUGUAGAGGUGAAAUUCGUAGAUAUCAGGAGGAACACCGAUGGCGAAGGCAGGUCUCUGGGCUGACACUGACGCUCAUGCACGAAAAGCGUGGGGAGCAAACAGG
Molecule: ribosomal RNA, 254 nt
Filed under: uncultured bacterium
Lineage: Bacteria
Description: partial 16S ribosomal RNA
Rfam family: Bacterial small subunit ribosomal RNA
Source: RNAcentral